Molecule: long non-coding RNA, 183 nt
Organism: Leguminivora glycinivorella
Lineage: Eukaryota; Metazoa; Arthropoda; Insecta; Lepidoptera; Tortricidae
Exons: 2
Source: RefSeq, a predicted model, not a curated record
AACAAAGUCAUAAUUACUUGUUGACAAAUAAAUUCGGUUGGGGGACAGGCCAGGGGAGAGACAUUUUUCCUACAUUAGAGCUGAUUGUGACUAAUUUACAUGAAUUUCUGUAAUAAUUUUGAGUGCCCAGGUAGAAAACAUUUAGUUUUAUAAAAUAAAUAUGUUAUUAUGAAGUAUUAUCUU